RNAcentral lists this ribosomal RNA (494 nucleotides) under uncultured bacterium. RNAcentral's name for it is "partial 16S ribosomal RNA". It matches the Rfam family "Bacterial small subunit ribosomal RNA", at positions 28 to 507 of the family's 1533-position model. The record is from RNAcentral.
GACGAACGCUGGCGGCGUGCUUAACACAUGCAAGUCGAACGGAAAGGCCUGCUUUCCCUUGUGGUUUUCGGGUACUCGAGUGGCGAACGGGUGCGUAACACGUGAGUGAUCUGCCCCCAACUUGGGUAUAAGCCUGGGAAACUGGGUCUAAUUACCGAUAGGACUGCAGGGUGGUGCCUGUGGUGGCAGACGUUCUUCUAGUGGUUGGGGAUGAGCCCGCGGCCUAUCAGCUUGUUGGUGGGGUAAAGGCCGACCAAGGCGGCGACGGGUAGCCGGCCUGAGAGGGUGGACGGUCACAUUGGGACUGGGAUACGACCCAGACGCCUACGGGAGGCAGCAGUGGGGAAGAUUGGACAAUGGGCGGAAGCCUGAUGCAGCGACGCCGCGUGGGGGAUGACGGCCUUCGGGUUGUAAGCUCCUUGCGACCGCGAGGAAGCCACCUGGUUGGAAGGGUGGUGACGGUAGUGGUAGAAGAAGCACCGGCUAACUACGUG